Molecule: long non-coding RNA, 268 nt
Organism: Liolophura sinensis
Lineage: Eukaryota; Metazoa; Mollusca; Polyplacophora; Chitonida; Chitonidae
Exons: 3
Source: RefSeq, a predicted model, not a curated record
AACAGAUCAGUGUCAGUGACAACCCAGGAUAAGCAAAAUGAAGCCAUUGACGCCAUACGCCAGUACUAUGCCUUCUUGCUCAAUUCGAUUGACUUAAGAUACCAGAACAUUGUUGAAGAUGAUGUUCAGUUCAAAGUACAAUUCGCGGGGAUGUUUCUGGCUACGACUGACGCUGAAUCACCAUUCACAUCGACCUUAAAAUCAGAGAAUGCAAACGACGGAGAUCGACCUCUGGUGGAUGCUGGCGAAUCACUCCAGAGUUUUCAGU